GCCUGGGUGGCUCAGUCGGUUGAGCGUCCGACUUUAGCUCAGGUCAUGAUCUCACAGUUUGUGGGUUCAAGCCCCGCAUCAGGCU
RNAcentral lists this transfer RNA (85 nucleotides) under Felis catus (domestic cat). It matches the Rfam family "tRNA". From Rfam's summary of the family: Transfer RNA (tRNA) molecules are approximately 80 nucleotides in length. Their secondary structure includes four short double-helical elements and three loops (D, anti-codon, and T loops). The record is from Rfam by way of RNAcentral. Lineage: Eukaryota; Metazoa; Chordata; Mammalia; Carnivora; Felidae.